AAACGGUACUGUAAAAGCACUUUUUUGUGAUCUUUUCUCAGAGGGCUGCACCCCGGAAACCCAAAUCCAGUCCAGAGCUCCAGUCUGGGAGGAGACAGACCUAACGAGCCAGUUAUUCCUCUCCCACCGCAGAUUGGAAGUCCUCAAAGACUGCAAAGCAGAAUUAGGACAGCGUUGAACACCGCAGAGAGAUACAGAACAGCACUCGGUAACAAACGCGUGGGUGAGUUUAUGUGUUUAUUACUGAUUAAUCUGCUUCAUUUCUCAGAUUCGUUGUUCAGUUUAGUUUAGGUUAAAUAAAGGUUCUUUAUCAGUCCCACAACAGGAGACUUCAUUCACAGUGCUACAGAAGCAGAGGAAACGAAAAGAAGGAACAAGAAGAGAAUUAAUAAGCAAGUAAUUAACCUCGUUAAUCAAUUAACAGGCUUUUACAGGCUGCAUGAUUUUGGCAAAAUAUCUGUGAUUUAAAUUGUGAAUGUUUACUACAAACUGAUGCACGGGCCUUUUUUUAAACUAAGAAGACCAGCGUGUGCGUUUUUGUGUUGAAGCUUGAGCACUUAAAGCAGAUCACCCUCCCGCCAGUUAUUUGCGGUUGUGAUGUCACAGCUCGUCACUUGUGAUUCGUCGAAUUCAUUUAAAAGCAGUUCACAAGCUCCGUGUGAUUAAACCUCCCGACUUAAAACUCGCAACGGAUUAACAUUCACACUUCCUUAAGGGUUCUUUAGUAAAGAAAGUGGUUCUGUAUGGAACUAUGAACGCUCAAAAAACCCUUGGCCUGAUUAAAUGUUUUUCUCCAUUGUGAAACGGUUCUGUGUAGCACCCAAAAGGGUUCUGCUAUUGUUACUAGCUUGACAACGUAACAAUGGAAGCACCCUUUUGGGUGCUACACAGAACCGUUUUCUAAAAGGUUCUUUGUAGAACCAUCUACAGCACAUUCUCUGUCAGCUUCAAAAACGCUUUGACGAUGCCAGGAGCCAUGUAAUCUAAUCCUCGAGGUGUUCAUGGUUCUAUACAGAUCCAUUUUCCUUGGAACCCUUGGAGAACCAUCUUUUUUUUAAGACUGGAGUUGGAAACAGACCAUAAGACUAUGAUGGAAAUUGCAGCACUUGCGAUUUGAAAACUCUUUAACGUUGAGAUUUCGAUAUAAAAACGAUUCAUUUUUCAGCCCUUCUUGUUACUAUAUAGACUAUAUAUAGAAUACUGAAUGGAAAAAAUAAGAAAAAUAUAAGAUAAAAUAUGAAAAAUGAACAAGAUGAAGAAUUAUAAGUCAGUAGAAGUGUCUUCCUACAAUAUUUAUAAAAGCCUCCACCGUCACUUUACAGCACAGGCCGUGCGUCACUAAUUCUGUCUGUCAUUUGACACCUGCCCGUAAUGUGCCCCCUGCACACAACCGGCUUCUGACAGCUCGUUGCCUGGACGACACCAUGCAAAGAUAAAGAAGAGCGACGCCCUGCUUGUACCUUGUAUCCUCCUCAAUAAUUAAACCACCACUUCCUUGUUUCGGCCACACAAUGGAACCGAAUGAGGCGACUCUCCCACCAGCGCUCAAAUGAUAAACAUAUUAGGAGCGGGUUUAUUUGUCUUUGUCAGGAC
Molecule: long non-coding RNA, 1593 nt
Organism: Pygocentrus nattereri (red-bellied piranha)
Lineage: Eukaryota; Metazoa; Chordata; Actinopteri; Characiformes; Serrasalmidae
Source: Ensembl